UACGUAGGGGGCGAGCGUUGUCCGGAUUUAUUGGGCGUAAAGAGCUCGUAGGCGGUUUGGUAAGUCGGGUGUGAAAUCUCCACGCUCAACGUGGAGGGGCCACUCGAUACUGCCAUGACUCGAGUCCGGUAGAGGAGUGUGGAAUUCCCGGUGUAGCGGUGAAAUGCGCAGAUAUCGGGAGGAACACCCGUAGCGAAGGCGGCACUCUGGGCCGGAACUGACGCUGAUGCGCGAAAGCCAGGGGAGCGAACGGG
RNAcentral lists this ribosomal RNA (254 nucleotides) under uncultured bacterium. RNAcentral describes it as "partial 16S ribosomal RNA". It matches the Rfam family "Bacterial small subunit ribosomal RNA", at positions 524 to 776 of the family's 1533-position model. The record is from RNAcentral.